RNA transcript from Hermetia illucens (black soldier fly), 2412 nucleotides. RefSeq lists it as uncharacterized. The record is from RefSeq and is a predicted model, not a curated record. NCBI's taxonomy places the organism in Eukaryota, Metazoa, Arthropoda, Insecta, Diptera, Stratiomyidae. The transcript has 6 exons.
UAACUUUAGCUUACAUGUACGAGUGUGAUAAAUCGUUAUCAUGUUUGAUUUUCUUAGGGUUUCUAGCGGAAGAUGACUCUAGAUGCAGUUGUCCUAAGUACAAUAAAGAGUUGAUUGAGUUGCCGGAUUCCUGUACUUGUAUUCAGCGUCCUUCAGAUGAAUCUAAUGUAGGGAGUAUCACUUCUAACUCAAGUAAUCACUCUGCAAAGAGCAAAACUUGCGUAUGCACACAAAAUCUCUGUGCGAGCCAAGGAACUUCUUCGGAAUUGGAAAAUAAAUCAAAUGAAGGGAGUGGAAUCCAAAGUUUUGAGCAACAAUCACAGGACUCCGAGCUCUUAAAAACUGUACCUGAUGAGUUGAAUCCUGACUUUGCAUCAAACUUGUCGGGGUGUUCGUGUCAAUCAUCGGCCUCCAGUGAAGUUUCUAUUCACUCAAAAUCUCCUAGCACAAUAUCCCCUUCUAAAUCAACUACCAUUUGUAGCUGCUCUACAACUUCGCCAUUUACAAUAUCAUCUCAUAAGUCUAUCUACAGCUCGAAAAGCCAAAAACCAGGAUCAAAAAACCAGUCGGAAAAUGAAAGUAGACGAGAAUAUGAAAGCGUUAGAGGAACUGGAAGUGAAAAGUUGGAAAAGGAGGAAAAAACAAGUGAAAAGAGAGGCGAAUGGGACGAAGAUCUAGUGAAAGAACCAAUCAACGAAACGAGUGUCAUCAGUCAGGGAGUGGAUGACCAAAUUAAAGACCCGAAAGAAAAAGAUCAUAGAAUCUCUAGGGAUUUUACUGAUAAUAAAUGCCCGAACAAUUGUGGAUGUCCCGACUGCCCUUUUUUAACAACAUAUAGUCGUCCGUUAAAAUUUAAACCUUUGAAAAUGGAUGCACAGGAAUGCGAAAAGCAACGGCAGAACAUUUCGAUUUACGGAAGCGAUGAUCUAACGUAUGAAAGUAACCGUCUGAAAACCAAAAAGGAUUCUCCAGUCAUAAGAAAGGAUCUUCAAACUAGUGAAAAGAACCUUCCGAUCAAUGAUUUUUCAUCAAAUGAAAGAAAUUUCUCUAUGCGCAAUAGAGAUUUCCAAGUCCAAGGAAAUCUUAACAUCCAGGAAAAUAUGACUCCGUCACAUGGCAGUCAUGUCCCGGUACAAGGAAGAGAUGUUUUAGUUCAAGGGGGAGGUUUUCCUGUCCAACGAAAAGAUUUUCCAAUUCAACAAAAAGAUCUUCCGGUUUCGGGAAAUAGCCGUUCGGUUAAUGAGAUUGAACCAAGAAACUUUAGAAACGAGCCAGCGGUUCCAUUACCCAGAAUGAAUUUCUCUGUCUCCGAAAAGGACUUGACGUGUUCUAAGGUCUUGGAGCAAAUUCGGGAUGUACUUUGUGAAAAUAAAAAAGAAACCCAUGAUAUAUCCAACCAUCCAACAUGCCCGUGUCCAAGAGGCGGCUUCUACAAACCAACUCAUACAUGUUUGCCUAGAUGUAAAUGUAGUUGUACUCCUGGAAAAAAUAGUGAGUACUUGGGAUUAACGAACUUCAUUGCUAAUAUUUGUGAAGGCAAAAGGAGCCAAAAUGGUAUGAGAAGCGUCACUCAAAUCGGCGAUGAGUAUUUGAAUAAAGCUAAGGACUACGAAUGCGAUGAUUCUCUAUUUGGUAUCAACAAUAGCAUGAAUUCAUUUUUUGGAUUUUUAUUCACCGAGAUAAAGAAUAUUAAGAACAUGCUGAAUUGUGGCCUUCAAAAGUUUGGAGCGAACGAGCCGGCAGACUUCGAUGCCAAACAAGUUUCCCGGCCAGCAAAAUGUUGCCCCAGCGGUAAAGGUUGCAUAACGAAACCCACUAUGAACAUCUUACCCUCAUGUUACCCGCCCCCUUUAUGCCAUUGCUCUCCACCCAUCAUUACUAUAAUAGGAGUGCAACCUGUCGGAUCAAAGUCUCUUUUGAUUACUUGGAGAAACGAUCAAUAUUACGGCAUUGUGGGCUAUGAAGUUUAUAUCGAUGGUUGUAUGAAGAGCCGAUGUUUUUCACCUAUGCGAACUUCAGCUGUUGCUUUCGGUGUCGACCUUAGUGUUAAACACAUUAUCACGGUCAUUGCUAUUGUCGAUCAAGGGUGUUCGCCAUGUAAUUGUUUGCCCACAAAAGGCUCAGGUUUUUAUCAACCCAAUAUGUUGCGACUAAACGAUUGCUGUAAUAUUUGUGCCUAACAAAAGAAUUUGAAUCGUGAAUUUUGAAGUGGCGUUGCUGUUAGAUUUAUGCGGUACAAAUUGCCAGUGAAGCAGGUGCUGGAGCUCUCUCCGUCAAAAUAAACUAAUAAAGGGAAAAUCCAAUGAAAAGAAAUACAUUUAUUAAAAUCUCCAAGUAACAUAACUAAUGAGAAAGUGUUCUUAAAGGCGGAUCUCUUAAUAAAAUUGAUGCCAAUAAAAUUGUUCAUUACUA